This is an RNA transcript of Drosophila elegans, 4141 nucleotides long. It is a transcript of the gene named DIS3-like exonuclease 2, with no coding region annotated. The record is from RefSeq and is a predicted model, not a curated record. The transcript is spliced from 5 exons. Lineage: Eukaryota; Metazoa; Arthropoda; Insecta; Diptera; Drosophilidae.
CAUCCCUGGUCACGUCACUUUAAUUUCGAGAAAGUAUUCAAUUGAUGUUGUCUUGCACUUUUCUUAUCCCCACAGCGAGUCCAGUGCUUCGACAGCAACCCCCAAGUAUCAGCCACUUUCAACUGCCAGGUGCACUGCUUUUCACAAUGUCUGAAUCGUCAAGCGUCGAGGUGGAUGCGGACAGAGAGCGGGACGGGGAGGGGGACCGUGGCUCCUCAUAUCCUUCCACCCACGACUGCAGCAAAAUCGAGGCCCUUCGUCAGCGCUCCCAGCGCCUGACUGCCCGUCUUCAGCAGACGCAGCGGGAGAUGGAAACGUCCAGCGCAUCCGUCAAGGAGUCGCCCGCCGCCACCCGAACCGUGAAAGUCGUCAAUCCGCCAACGCAGAGGCGCGUGGAUGCGCCCUUUAACAGGCAAAUUAACUCCAAUGCUGUGGCAGGAGCCGUGCCGGUGGCGAUAGCCAUGUCUUACCACUUAGCACUGCCUUCCUACCCGGUGGCGGGCAUGCAGAUGGCCUCCCAGCAACAACCUCAGCUGCAGAUUCUACCCAGCUCCAGCCAACAGCCAAUGGCAAAGAAGUCAAAGCGGGCGCUAAGAAAAGAGGUAGACGCCCUCCAGGAGAUGAUCAAACUGAUGUCGCACGUCUCCCCGGAAGUGAAUGCAUAUGCCGCCCAGCUGAUACGCCAGAACGAGGUCCUGUCCCAGCUGGAGUGGGGAGCUCAGCCCCAGCAGGUAGCUCUGCGACAGCUUCCUCAGCGCAUCGACGGUGGGAGCGAGGUGGUUCGGCGACAACUGCCUCAGCAGCGGGUGGAAGGCCGCCAGCGCCGUGAGUCUGAUGCAUCGAGCAGCAAUAGCAAUCCUGCCCAGCAACCGACAAAACAAGGACGGCGACAGCGUAACCGUAAAAGAAGCGAGGGCUCCGGCAAAAACACUACUCAGUCGCUAAAAACCGAGCUGGACGCCAUGCGGACGUACAUUAACAAAAUCGUCCAGCAUCAUGUGGGAACUGACCACCAGCUGCCGCCAGAUCUAAUCUUUAAGGGCAACUUUUCCGACCUGGAAGCGCAUGCUCAGCGACUGACUGCGGCCGGAUACGGACGCAUUGUGGAGGAGGAGAUCCGGGUGAACCGCAAAAACAAUAGGCAGGCUUUCAUCACGAUGACCACGGAUCGCGAAGCCCUGGAACGGGAUGGCAUCGUGCUGCUGCCUGUGGCCCGGCGUUAUGCUUUCGAAGGCGACAAAGUUCGGGCUUUCGUUCUGAAUGCAGGUGCUCAGUGCAAUUCAAAACCUGCCGAGCCCUCCCCUGGCGGAAUAACUGGCGGAAAGCCGUCUUUGUCACUCGCGGAUGAUGAGGAGCUCUCGGAGUCGGAGUCUCAGGAUUCAGAAGCGGAAGCCGACAAUGUAGUCGUCAUCUCGUCGGACAACUGUCCGAAAGCUUUCGUUAUAGCUAUCACCAAACAAACUGAGCUCCGCCAAAUCGUAGGAACAAUAUCGUUCACAAACCCUACAAAGCUUUGCGAUGACCAGCUCUUUUACAAGUUCCGACCGUACGACUUGCGUGUACCCAUGGUAUACGUGCCCAUGGAGGGCUGUACCGCUCACAUCGGAAGCAAGACGCAAGCAGGGGAAGUGUCUGGCCUGCUAUAUCUGGCCCACAUACUGGAGACCGAUUGCAAUGGCCAUUGCAUCGCGGAGCUAAUCCAACCGGUGGGACGCGUGGGUAAUUUGGAAGACGAGCUAAAAGCGAUUCUCUUCCAUAAUGGCCUCCGAGAUAUAAAGCCAUUUGAGCAGCGAUUCGACGACAUGUAUUCCCAGCCUCCACCCCCGAUAAGCAAGACCGAUCUGCGUCAACGAAGGGACUUAAGAAAGAUGUGCAUUUUUACCAUAGACCCAAUGACUGCCCGCGAUCUGGAUGACGCCGUUUCCAUUGAGAAGCUAGGUGAUAACAAGUAUGAGGUUGGCGUCCAUAUAUCCGAUGUAUCGCACUAUCUUAUGGAGAAUAACGAAUUAGAUAAUAUCGUGAAGGAGCGUUCUACGUCCAUUUAUUUAGCCAACGAGGUAAUUCACAUGCUGCCCCAGUCUCUGUGCAUGCGUUGUUCGCUACUGCCUGGAGAGGACAAGUUUGCCUUCUCAGUCUUCUGGAAAAUGGACAGUGACGGAGUCAUGCUGGAAGAAAAGCCCGAGUUUUCUCGAACGAUCAUUAACUCCUGCUCGCAAUUUGCCUACGAACACGCCCAAAAGAUAAUCGAUAAUCCCAACGAGCUGUUUAAUGAGAACGAUUUUCCGACUAUCCUAAACGGAUUUAAUGCCAAUGACAUCAAAGAAAGAGUUCUGUGGCUUCACGGGAUGGCGAGCUCCAUGCGUAAAUCACGCUUUGACAACGGCGCUCUCACCAUUAACAACGCAAAGCUUCGCUUUAUUCUGGACCCAAUUAGCGGAGAGCCUGUGUCAUUCGAAGUGGAGCAACAGCGCGAGGCAAACCGCUUGAUUGAGGAGUUCAUGCUGUUGGCAAACCAGGCAGUGGCUCGUUUUAUACACGACUCCUUUCCUGAGAACGCUGUGCUCCGUAACCACCCGCCACCAUUAACGAAGUCCCUCAAGGCGUUACGGGAAAAACUCCUGGCCUUGGGAUUCGAACUGGACUACAGCUCGUCAAAGGCGCUUCAGGAAAGCAUGGUGCGACUUUGCAACGAGGCCCCCAACCCUGUCGCAAUGAAUGCUUGCCUCAGCCAGCUGCUAAUGAAGCCUAUGGCAAGGGCAACAUAUUUUUGCAGCGAGGGUAAAACGGAACCGGCAGACCUGUGGCACUAUGCAUUGUCCAUUCCUAUUUACACCCACUUUACUAGCCCGAUCCGCCGGUAUCCUGACAUAAUGGUGCACCGCCUGCUGGCGGCCGCACUUAAAUACUGUCCACCGCCUGAACGCACACCAGACGAUCUCCACGCCCUGACAAAGCUAGCCAAUGAGCGCAAGUACAAUGCCAAAAUGGCCGGAGACGACUCCGGCCACUUAUAUUUCAAGCGCUAUGUGCGCAAUAAGCAAGGCAUCUACAUGCAGGCCGUGGUCAUAGAGAUAUUUCAGCACAUGAUGAAUGUUGUUACUCUGGAGUCUGGCCACGUCAUAUGCAUCAACUUCAAGAUGCAAAAGGUCCUUGUCGAUACGCACAGCGCACCCAACUACGUUAUGAUUGCCGAGCGUAACAUAAAGCAGUCACCUCGCAAGCUACAGCUGCUUUCUUUGGUGCCUAUUUGUCUGCUCAUUUGGGACAAUAAGCUAACUGGUUUCCUAACGAUGGGCGACCAACGCGUACAGGCGCCCAAGGAUCAGCCCACCGGAUCUGGAUCGUCACGAAAAAACAAGCCAAAGCUGCAGCAAAAUAUUGAGCAGCAGCGGCAACAGCAACAUCAGCAACAUCUCCAGCAGCAGCAACAUAUCCAGCAACAGCAGCGAAUUUUUGCAAUCAGGCAAAACAGCUUAUAACUAAGCAAAGAUAUUCGGCUACAGCUUUGGCUCAAAGAUCCCUUUCCUUAUCACGCCGUAGAUUGCACUUGUUUUGUUUGAAAAAUCGGAAACUUCCUAAAAUUACUCAUUUGAACAAAAACUCUGAUUAUGAGACGGGAGAUCCGUAUAAACAUCACGAGAGUCGCGGGCUGGCUUAUAUUUAACCGGGUGCUUUUUGGAAGCCUCAGACCAAUAGUGACUUAAUUUGCAUCAAAACAGUGACCUAGGUCCAACACAUCAAAUUCCAUAACAUUUCUCGAAGAAAUCUGAUUUAAAAAAGGAAUACCUCUAAAGGUUUGUGGCUUAAAUUUCUAAGAAUUUGUCUUCAAAUUUUGGUCAUAUAGGUUUAUCUUUUAAUUUUCUAAGAAGCUGCAACCUCUUUAGGUUUAAUUUUCUAAGAAUCUGUGUAAAAAUGUUGUUUAUUUAUGACGAGGGGGCUAAGCGCAGGCCAGUAUUUAAUCUGGGUUUUUUGAGAGUCAUCCAUCGCAACGGAAUAUUAUUUGCGGCGCGUCAACCCUGGACCCACCAGCUAGAGAAACUUUAAUUUUGAUUGGGACGGUCAAUAUAAUCUGAUUGUUGUUAAACUGUCUUUACUUAUUUUCUAUUAAAGACUUUAGAGUUGCUUUGAUUUUAAUAAUUUA